Long non-coding RNA from Triticum dicoccoides, 2522 nucleotides. RefSeq lists it as uncharacterized. The transcript is spliced from 6 exons. The record is from RefSeq and is a predicted model, not a curated record. NCBI's taxonomy places the organism in Eukaryota, Viridiplantae, Streptophyta, Magnoliopsida, Poales, Poaceae.
CUAACCGCCAUCCACGCCGCUCGCCGCCGGCCUUGACCCCCUCCCUCCCUGCCCUCCGAACACUAUCGCCGGCCAGAUCCACUGGAGCCCCCACCCCUGCCUCUCUCUCAUGACCCAUCUCUCUCUCCCGUACUGCACGCCGCUGCCACAUGUGCCACCCAAUUCUAGCAUUCAUCGGUGACACACGGCACCACGCAGCAAGGGGCUCGCAUCGCUCCGACCAGAUCCGAUAGGCGCCUCACUGGCCUCGGAUCAGGCAUGCAUGACCCGGUACCGCCACCGUCACGCCCGUCGCUGAGAUCCAUGGCGUUGGCCCGUGGCUGGUGCCGGGAGGCUUGGAUUCAUGCGUGCCCCGGUUGUGGGUCCUGGCCGUCCUCGGCGUCGUGUCCUAAAGGUGCACAAGAGACCUCGUCUCCACUCCAAGGCCAUUUGUACUGGCAUGGAGGUUGCUUGCCGGCCAUCCAUGAUGGUAAAGACCACCAGCGGCAGCAGGGCCAGCAAGACGGCGGCCACCAUCAACCGCUUCUUCCUGUCCCCAUCACCUUCCUUCAGCCUUCUCCCACCGUCGCCAAUCAAGAUUUGGUGUGCAAAGGCACAAUUUCCUUCUAGGGCUUCAUCUGCAAAUCCACAAAAGUAUGAAAGGAUCAACUUGUCGAAGUGGUAGAAGAAGCUAGGGUGAAAAGAGCAAAGCAGAUCUCACCUGUGGGGAGUGAGGACUCCCGCAGCCAACCAGUUGCCAUAGGAUGAUUGUCUGAUUCCUUGCGUGAUGCCUUCCUUCUGCUCCAACAACGACGCCGUUCGCCGCGGCUCUCUGAUGUCCGCCGUAGAUCUUCUCCAACAACCACCGCUAUUCUGACCAUGACGCCUCCUUGACGACUUGCCGCUGAUCUCCGAGGAUCAGCCGCUGCUCUUCUCCAACAACGGGGCUGCUGCUGAUUCUCUCAAGCCCGGAACUGGGACCAGAGAGAAGAACAAUCAAGAUCCAGGGAACUCCCCUCUCUUUACUCUUGUCUCUGUGAUGUCUAGUUUCUCUCUUGAAUGCCAAGGAUCACAUAUCUAGUAGAAUCAAGUUGUUCUCACUUAAAUUCAAUCACUUACCAUGUGACACUGAUUUUUUGUUAAUACACUGUCCAAGUCAUGAAUUUCUUGAACUGGUGCAUGUAUAUAUUUGGGUGCUAGUCAACUAGAGAAUGUCUGUGAUACCAUGUUUGUACUAUGUGCUAGUGUAGCUGUACCGAUGCAAAUACUGCUUGUGUACUUAUGGAGUAGUAAAUAGCCUUUCAUGUCAUUCUCCAAGUCUGCACAUAUCAUUGUUAUUUUAGGAGCAGAUCUCUCAUCCUUGUUUGCAUAAGAAACCUGAACUUGCUUAAAAGCCAAUUUAGUUGUGUAUUACCAGUUCAAGUUGUUUAGUAUCUAUCAUGUUCUGUUUUGCUACCGAACACCUUCAACUUAAAUGUUGAAUUGCCUUGGUACACAUAAUUGUUUUUAAUCUAAGGGGAAGCCCUUAAUAGUCAGCUGACCUUAUGAACCGUAUAAAUAUAUCAAAAUCAUGUGUUGUUAAAUUGAGCUUAUUGUCAAUUGGCAACCUCGUAUUGUAGUAGCUAGACCAUCUUGCACCAUCCCUCUAAUAAAGAAUAAAUCAUGAUGUUUCUGCUGCCAUAACUUGUUUUCUUGUUUACCAUCCAGGUACAAUGGGACCAAGCUCAUCCUCCUCGUCCCUAGCUACUACACGACUGCCGUCCUGCAUACUCCCUCCUGUUCAUGGAGCAUCUGGACCUCUUCAUGGAGGUUUGAAGCAUCUGUCAGUCAAAUUUUGAAGCAGGCCAAUUGGAAGCGGCACCAAUUGGCAGUGAGAGGCAGAAGAGGAAUUGUGACACCGUGUUCCAUGCUCCUUCAGACAUGGAGUCCAGGCGGCCGCGGUUCCGUCACCCCGCGGACUCCAUUGGAGGAGGCCCCACCCCGCGUGUGGCCGACUUGGAGUUGGAGGGCUUCCUACCCCACGCCCCUUGUCUGCUCUGACGAUGGGUUCCUCCUGGCCGUGAUGAUGCCUGAGACCGGCCGCCACACCCACAAGAAGGACGACGGCAUCUGUAACAACGUCUGCAACAAGGUAAAAUGGGACCAAGCUCAUCCUCCUCGUCCCUAGCUACUACACAACUGCCAUCCUGUAUAUUCCCUCCAGUUCAUGGAGCAUAUGAACCUCUUACUUUUGUAGCUGGUGAAUGAGGCUUUCAAAUGUUGAAGGAGGAGGACAAUAGGAACUUCUAUUAUGUCUUAUCGUCUAAAUUUCUGUUCUAAUUGUCUUUUUCUUAGAAUAGUUUUGUUUGGCACUUACUGUUCCUGGGAUGUAAAGUAUGUAUUGCUAGAAUGAAUGCUUGUAAUAUUAGCAAUAUCAUAUUUUGGGCUCCUAUAACAUUGCACGUUGCUUUGAAAAUGCAUCAGAAGUGGGCUAGGCCCAAGAUAGCUUGCGGUGUGAUGUGUUGUAAUGUCAAUGGUAUAAUAAUUUUUUUGGAUUGGAUCAA